UACGUAGGGUGCAAGCGUUGUCCGGAAUUAUUGGGCGUAAAGAGCCCGUAGGCGGUCUGUCGCGUCUGCUGUGAAAACCUAGGGCUUAACUCUGGGCGUGCAGUGGGUACGGGCAGGCUAGAGUGCGGUAGGGGAGACUGGAAUUCCUGGUGUAGCGGUGAAAUGCGCAGAUAUCAGGAGGAACACCGGUGGCGAAGGCGGGUCUCUGGGCCGUAACUGACGCUGAGGAGCGAAAGCAUGGGGAGCGAACAGG
This 253-nucleotide ribosomal RNA is filed under the name uncultured bacterium. RNAcentral's name for it is "partial 16S ribosomal RNA". It matches the Rfam family "Bacterial small subunit ribosomal RNA", at positions 524 to 776 of the family's 1533-position model. The record is from RNAcentral.